GUUGUAUGGUUAAGUGACUAAGCGUACAUGGUGGAUGCCUUGGCAGUCAGAGGCGAUGAAGGACGUACUAACCUGCGAUAAGCUGUGAGAAGUCGGUAAGAGACGCUAUUACUCACAGAUUUCCGAAUGGGGAAACCCACCCGAGAUAACUCGGGUAUCUGUUACUGAAUACAUAGGUAACAGAGGCGAACCGGGAGAACUGAAACAUCUAAGUACCCCGAGGAAAAGAAAUCAACCGAGAUUCCCUCAGUAGCGGCGAGCGAACGGGGAUUAGCCCUUAAGCAUCUUGGAAGUUAGUGGAACGGUCCUGGAAAGGCCGGCGAUACAGGGUGAUAGCCCCGUACACGAAAACAACCUUGAUGUGAAAUCGAGUAGGGCGGGACACGUGACAUCCUGUCUGAAUAUGGGGGGACCAUCCUCCAAGGCUAAAUACUCCUGACUGACCGAUAGUGAACCAGUACCGUGAGGGAAAGGCGAAAAGAACCCCUGUGAGGGGAGUGAAAUAGAACCUGAAACCGUGUACGUACAAGCAGUGGGAGCCCUUCGGGGUGACUGCGUACCUUUUGUAUAAUGGGUCAGCGACUUACAUUUUGUAGCGAGGUUAACCGUAUAGGGGAGCCGUAGGGAAACCGAGUCUUAACUGGGCGUCUAGUUGCAAGGUGUAGACCCGAAACCGGGUGAUCUAGCCAUGGGCAGGUUGAAGGUUGAGUAACAUCAACUGGAGGACCGAACCCACUAACGUUGCAAAGUUAGGGGAUGACCUGUGGCUGGGGGUGAAAGGCCAAUCAAACUCGGAGAUAGCUGGUUCUCCCCGAAAGCUAUUUAGGUAGCGCCUCGGACGAAUACUACUGGGGGUAGAGCACUGUUUGGGCUAGGGGGUCAUCCCGACUUACCAACCCCAUGCAAACUCCGAAUACCAGUAAGUAAUAUCCGGGAGACACACGGCGGGUGCUAACGUCCGUCGUGAAGAGGGAAACAACCCAGACCGCCGGCUAAGGUCCCAAAGUUCUGGUUAAGUGGGAAACGAUGUGGGAAGGCUCAGACAGCUAGGAUGUUGGCUUAGAAGCAGCCAUCAUUUAAAGAAAGCGUAAUAGCUCACUAGUCGAGUCGGCCUGCGCGGAAGAUGUAACGGGGCUCAAACCAGGCACCGAAGCCGCGGAUUCACACUUAUGUGUGAGUGGUAGGGGAGCGUUCUGUAAGUCUGCGAAGGUGUAUCGAGAGGUAUGCUGGAGAUAUCAGAAGUGCGAAUGCUGACGUAAGUAACGAUAAAGGGGGUGAAAAGCCUCCUCGCCGGAAGACCAAGGGUUCCUGUCCAACGUUAAUCGGGGCAGGGUGAGUCGACCCCUAAGGCGAGGCCGAAAGGCGUAGUCGAUGGGAAGCAGGUUAAUAUUCCUGCACGACUUGUAAUUGCGAUGGGGGGACGGAGAAGGCUAGGUGGGCCAGGCGACGGUUGUCCUGGUGAAAGUGCGUAGGUGGUGUUUCUAGGCAAAUCCGGAGACACAACACUGAGACACGAGACGAACACACUACGGUGUGGAAGCCAUUGAUGCCCUGCUUCCAGGAAAAGCCUCUAAGCUUCAGAUUACAAGUCAUCGUACCCCAAACCGACACAGGUGGUCGGGUAGAGAAUACCAAGGCGCUUGAGAGAACUCGGGUGAAGGAACUAGGCAAAAUAGAACCGUAACUUCGGGAGAAGGUUCGCUCUUGACAGUGAAGUCCCUUGCGGAUGGAGCAGUUGGGAGUCGCAGUGACCAGAUGGCUGGGACUGUUUAUCAAAAACACAGCACUCUGCAAACACGAAAGUGGACGUAUAGGGUGUGACACCUGCCCGGUGCCGGAAGGUUAAUUGAUGGGGUUAGCGCAAGCGAAGCUCUUGAUCGAAGCCCCGGUAAACGGCGGCCGUAACUAUAACGGUCCUAAGGUAGCGAAAUUCCUUGUCGGGUAAGUUCCGACCUGCACGAAUGGUGUAACCAUGGCCAUGCUGUCUCCACCCGAGACUCAGUGAAAUCGAAUUCGCCGUGAAGAUGCGGUGUACCCGCGGCUAGACGGAAAGACCCCGUGAACCUUUACUACAGCUUGGCACUGAACAUUGAACCUACAUGUGUAGGAUAGGUGGGAGGCUUUGAAGGCGUGACGCCAGUUGCGCUGGAGCCGUCCUUGAAAUACCACCCUUGUAUGUUUGAUGUUCUAACGCAGGGCCCUGAAUCGGGCUCGCGGACAGUGCCUGGUGGGUAGUUUGACUGGGGCGGUCUCCUCCCAAAGAGUAACGGAGGAGCACGAAGGUUGGCUAAUCCUGGUCGGACAUCAGGAGGUUAGUGCAAUGGCAUAAGCCAGCUUAACUGCGAGACGGACAGGUCGAGCAGGUACGAAAGUAGGUCAUAGUGAUCCGGUGGUUCUGAAUGGAAGGGCCAUCGCUCAACGGAUAAAAGGUACUCCGGGGAUAACAGGCUGAUACCGCCCAAGAGUUCAUAUCGACGGCGGUGUUUGGCACCUCGAUGUCGGCUCAUCACAUCCUGGGGCUGAAGUCGGUCCCAAGGGUAUGGCUGUUCGCCAUUUAAAGUGGUACGCGAGCUGGGUUCAGAACGUCGUGAGACAGUUCGGUCCCUAUCUGCCGUGGGCGUUGGAUGAUUGAAGGGAGUUGCUCCUAGUACGAGAGGACCGGAGUGAACGAACCUCUGGUGUUCGGGUUGUCACGCCAGUGGCACUGCCCGGUAGCUAAGUUCGGAAUCGAUAACCGCUGAAAGCAUCUAAGCGGGAAGCGAGCCCUGAGAUGAGUCAUCCCUGACCCCUUGAGGGUCCUAAAGGGCCGUUGGAGACCACAACGUUGAUAGGCGGGGUGUGUAAGUGCAGCGAUGCAUUGAGCUAACCCGUACUAAUUACCCGUGAGGCUUAACCAUACAACACCCAAGAAGU
RNAcentral lists this ribosomal RNA (2913 nucleotides) under Aeromonas sp. ANNP30. RNAcentral's name for it is "bacterial LSU rRNA". It matches the Rfam family "Bacterial large subunit ribosomal RNA". The record is from RNAcentral. Lineage: Bacteria; Pseudomonadati; Pseudomonadota; Gammaproteobacteria; Aeromonadales; Aeromonadaceae.